Pseudoliparis swirei is the source of this 130-nucleotide small nucleolar RNA. RefSeq annotates it as small nucleolar RNA ACA64. The record is from RefSeq and is a predicted model, not a curated record. The transcript has a single exon. Lineage: Eukaryota; Metazoa; Chordata; Actinopteri; Perciformes; Liparidae.
UCCGAAUGAAAAUGAUCUCAGAUGUAACCGUGGUCUGAGGUCAGAUACCGGAGCCUACAGCACCGUGGUGCGUUUAAGCUUAUCACCUGCUUCCCAGUGGCAGAGCGAUAAAACCCAUGUGCCAACAAAA